GGUCCUGUAGUUCAACGGUUAGAACGCAUGCCUUAUAAGCGUGUCACGAAGUUUCGACUACUUCCAGGACCA
Molecule: transfer RNA, 72 nt
Filed under: Caudoviricetes sp.
Lineage: Duplodnaviria; Heunggongvirae; Uroviricota; Caudoviricetes
Description: tRNA-Ile
Rfam family: tRNA
About the family: Transfer RNA (tRNA) molecules are approximately 80 nucleotides in length. Their secondary structure includes four short double-helical elements and three loops (D, anti-codon, and T loops). Further hydrogen bonds mediate the characteristic L-shaped molecular structure. tRNAs have two regions of fundamental functional importance: the anti-codon, which is responsible for specific mRNA codon recognition, and the 3' end, to which the tRNAs corresponding amino acid is attached (by aminoacyl-tRNA synthetases). tRNAs cope with the degeneracy of the genetic code in two manners: having more than one tRNA (with a specific anti-codon) for a particular amino acid; and 'wobble' base-pairing, i.e. permitting non-standard base-pairing at the 3rd anti-codon position.
Source: RNAcentral